CUUUAAAAGUUUCUUAGCUUAUAAAUUCAUUUAUAUUCAUCGUUACGUUGUAAUUUCAGAUUAUACGACAAAAACGCAAUGAUUUAAAACAUGUUGAUAUAAAUGCUUACGAAAAUCAGUCUGUGUUUGGGCAAGUCGAUAAAGUGGAUUCGUUUCUAGAUCAUCUAAUACUAUUAUCCCAGCGACAGAAUGGUUUCACAGACACAGAACUGCGUGAAGAGAUUACUACGUUUCUACUAGCUGCUACAGAUACAACGGCGAUUGCAAUUUGUAAUACGCUUUUUUUGUUAGGAAAAUAUCCGAAAAUUCAGGAAAAAGUACAUGAAGAAUUAGUACGUGUGUUUGAGAAUCAUAAUGAAAAAUUAUAUAAAGAUGUUUUAAGUGAAUUGAAAUAUUUGGAUAUGGUUUUAAAAGAGUCUCUUCGUCUAUACCCACCUGUACCCAUGAUUACUCGGAAAGCAACUGAAGAAAUUA
This is a long non-coding RNA of Leptidea sinapis, 474 nucleotides long. RefSeq lists it as uncharacterized. The transcript is spliced from 3 exons. The record is from RefSeq and is a predicted model, not a curated record. Lineage: Eukaryota; Metazoa; Arthropoda; Insecta; Lepidoptera; Pieridae.